Molecule: transfer RNA, 75 nt
Filed under: SAR202 cluster bacterium Io17-Chloro-G9
Lineage: Bacteria; Bacillati; Chloroflexota; Dehalococcoidia
Description: tRNA-Ala
Rfam family: tRNA
About the family: Transfer RNA (tRNA) molecules are approximately 80 nucleotides in length. Their secondary structure includes four short double-helical elements and three loops (D, anti-codon, and T loops).
Source: RNAcentral
GGGGGUGUAGCUCAGCGGGAGAGCACCUGCCUUGCACGCAGGGGGCCAGGGGUUCGAUUCCCCUCACCUCCACCA